RNAcentral lists this ribosomal RNA (347 nucleotides) under uncultured bacterium. RNAcentral describes it as "bacterial SSU rRNA". It matches the Rfam family "Bacterial small subunit ribosomal RNA", at positions 57 to 392 of the family's 1533-position model. The record is from RNAcentral.
GCAAGUCGAACGGUAACAUGGAGAGCUUGCUCUCUGAUGACGAGUGGCGGACGGGUGAGUAAUGCGUAGGAAUCUGCCCAACAGUGGGGAAUAACCUGGGGAAACCCAGGCUAAUACCGCAUACGCUCUGUGCUUAGGUAUAGAGGAAAGCGGGGGACUUUCGGGCCUCGCGCUGGUGGAUGAGCCUACGUCCGAUUAGCUAGUUGGUGGGGUAAGAGCCUACCAAGGCGACGAUCGGUAGCUGGUCUUAGCGGAUGAUCAGCCACACUGGGACUGAGACACGGCCCAGACUCCUACGGGAGGCAGCAGUGGGGAAUAUUGGACAAUGGGGGCAACCCUGAUCCAGC